Molecule: long non-coding RNA, 645 nt
Filed under: Linum usitatissimum (flax)
Lineage: Eukaryota; Viridiplantae; Streptophyta; Magnoliopsida; Malpighiales; Linaceae
Description: long non-coding RNA (LUSI_LNC006720)
Source: RNAcentral
CCCAACCCAGGUCUCCGACGACGAAGCGAAUCUCUUCGCUAUGCAGUUAGCCAGCGCCUCCGUUCUACCAAUGGUCCUCAAAUCAGCACUCGAGCUCGACCUUCUCGAAAUCAUUUCCAAAUCUGCCGGCUCUGGAUCUUACCUUUCCCCUACCGAAAUCGCCUCUCACCUACCCACUAAGAACCCAGAAGCUCCCGUCGUUCUAGACCGCAUCUGCCGCCUCUUGGCUUCUUACUCUGUUCUCACUUGCUCCCUCCGCACUUUACCGGACGGCACCGUCGAGCGCCUCUACGGCCCCGCCCCUGUCUGCAAGUUCCUCACCAAGAACGAGGAUGGCGUCUCCAUCGCCGCCCUCGCUCUCAUGAACCAGGACAAAGUCCUCAUGGAGAGCUGGUAAUUAACUCUUUUCUUUCUUUCAAUUUUGGUACUCUGUUUUCUCCUGUUUUUCUGCUACUCUGUUUUCCCCUGUUUUUUAUGCCAAUUAAAUUAGGGGUGGUUUGUUAAAGAAAAAUAGAAAUUAGAGAAUAUUAAGUAUAUGAGAAUACUGUUUGUUAAAAGAUGUUACAACAAAUAAAAAGGUUUCAACUUUCAACAACCUCAGUAAAAUUUCUCCGGUACCAAACGAUCCCUCAGCUCAAACUUUCC